GAGAGUCGAGGUGGACGAACGGUAGACGUAACGCGUAGAACCAACCGUGCCGACAAAGAUAGGGGACAACAGUCCGAAAGGACUGCUAAUACCGAAUGUUGUCAGUUUCUCGCAUGGGAGACUGAUUAAAGAUGGCCUCUACUUGUAAGCUAUCGCUUUGCGAUGGGUCUGCGUCUGAUUAGCUAGUUGGUGGGGUAACGGCCUACCAAGGCGACGAUCAGUAGCCGGUCUGAGAGGAUGAACGGCCACAUUGGAACUGAGACACGGUCCAGACUCCUACGGGAGGCAGCAGUGGGGAAUCUUCCGCAAUGGGCGAAAGCCUGACGGAGCAACGCCGCGUGAAGUGAAGAAGGGUUUCGGCUCGUAAAGCUCUGUUGACGGGGACGAAUGUGCGAAAUGCGAAUAGUUUUUCGCAAUGACGGUACCCGUCGAGGAAGCCACGGCUAACUACGUGCCAGCCGCCGC
RNAcentral lists this ribosomal RNA (465 nucleotides) under uncultured bacterium. RNAcentral's name for it is "bacterial SSU rRNA". It matches the Rfam family "Bacterial small subunit ribosomal RNA", at positions 84 to 518 of the family's 1533-position model. The record is from RNAcentral.